GCCUAUUGGGCUCUGAGCAAACGUAGGGACACUAAGUAGGGAAUAGGGCUCCAUUUGAGAGUGUGAUGCACUAAUAGUACCUACCUAGGGUCUGCUUACCACAAGUAUUGGGUAGGGAUUAACACCGGUAACUGUCCCGGGAACACUUUACACCCCCCCUCAAAAAAAAUGUAUGACAAGACAUGGGAAAUGACAAUAUUUUCCCCAAUGUGGCACUAAUGCAAUUCCACAGUAUGAGCAGCAGCAGAUUGGCACAUUAUCCCACCAGGUAGAAGCAGAUUGGCACAUUAUCCCAC
Molecule: long non-coding RNA, 296 nt
Organism: Oncorhynchus tshawytscha (Chinook salmon)
Lineage: Eukaryota; Metazoa; Chordata; Actinopteri; Salmoniformes; Salmonidae
Source: Ensembl